This 313-nucleotide long non-coding RNA is filed under the name Setaria viridis. RNAcentral describes it as "long non-coding RNA (SVIR_LNC003685)". The record is from RNAcentral. Lineage: Eukaryota; Viridiplantae; Streptophyta; Magnoliopsida; Poales; Poaceae.
UUGGGGAAAGGAAAAAACUAAACUACGGGUCUAGGUUAUUUUGGGAUUGCGAUGAACAUGUAAAGAAAUAUGGUCUUACCAAAUGGGACAUUAUUUGUGAACCUAGGGGGAAAGAAAUACUGGGUAGUAUUUAGGACAUGUAAGUUAUUCCAACACAUGUCUACAUAGCAUCUGGCGUUUCAAGGAAACCUGCAGAUUCACCUAUCGUUUUUUUUCAUUCGACAAGCGGAAGUUCCCAUAAUGUACUCAAACUCACAGUGCCCUCCCUAAUGCAUUCAUUCAAGGGUGGCCAUCACGAGGAUUUACAUGUACC